GAACCCAACACAGUACUGUGUCAAUGCUGAACUGAUUCAUUAGCCAUAGCUUAAUCCCACGUUACUCCAAUCCUCGUGUUUGCUGGCGACAGAACUGCUUCUCAGACUGCAGACUCGGAUUUCAAGUCCGGCCUUCAAAACCUCCCGUUUCGAGUAAAGACAAGGAAACAGAGCGGAGAACAUUUAAUAGUUUAAUUAUAAGCUGCUGUAUACAUUCAGUGAUUAUUCCGAUUUUCAUGUUGCCAGAAGCCAUGGGUGAGACCAGCAAAACAUU
This is a long non-coding RNA of Salarias fasciatus (jewelled blenny), 274 nucleotides long. RefSeq lists it as uncharacterized. The record is from RefSeq and is a predicted model, not a curated record. NCBI's taxonomy places the organism in Eukaryota, Metazoa, Chordata, Actinopteri, Blenniiformes, Blenniidae. The transcript has 4 exons.